This 364-nucleotide ribosomal RNA is filed under the name uncultured Thiobacillus sp. RNAcentral describes it as "bacterial SSU rRNA". It matches the Rfam family "Bacterial small subunit ribosomal RNA", at positions 1013 to 1382 of the family's 1533-position model. Lineage: Bacteria; Pseudomonadati; Pseudomonadota; Betaproteobacteria; Nitrosomonadales; Thiobacillaceae. The record is from RNAcentral.
GUGCCCGAAAGGGAAUUGGAACACAGGUGCUGCAUGGCUGUCGUCAGCUCGUGUCGUGAGAUGUUGGGUUAAGUCCCGCAACGAGCGCAACCCUUAUCAUUAGUUGCUACGCAAGGGCACUCUAAUGAGACUGCCGGUGACAAACCGGAGGAAGGUGGGGAUGACGUCAAGUCCUCAUGGCCCUUAUGGGUAGGGCUUCACACGUCAUACAAUGGUCGGUACAGAGGGUUGCCAAGCCGCGAGGUGGAGCCAAUCCCAGAAAGCCGGUCUCAGUUCGGAUUGCAGGCUGCAAUUCGCCUGCAUGAAGUCGGAAUCGCUAGUAAUCGCAGGUCAGCAUACUGCGGUGAAUACGUUCCCGGGCCUU